CUGGGAUGUGUAUAGUCCAUGGGAUGUGUAACCUGAGUUGAGGCAAGGAAAAGCUGGUGGAUGUGCUGUUUAAUUGGACCAGGGAAAGAUGGCUUCCUAACUACAGGUUUAGAAGGCUCAGUUUGUGAUCGUUUGGUCCCAUGUCCUUUGGACACAUGAUAGUGUGAUCCAUCACUAUGGGAAGCAUGUGGCGGAGAAAACUAUUCAUCAUGUAGUAGCUGAGAAGAAGAGAGAAACGGGAAGAAUGACAUCUCAGUAUUCCCACUUAGUAUGCAUUCCCAAUAACCUAACUUCUCCUACUAGACUCUACCUACUAUAGUUUUAGCAUUUCCUUAGCAUUUCCUGUCGGUUGGUGACCAUGCUUUAACUCAUGAGUUUUUGGGACACUUAGCCAAACUAUUUGUCUUAGCUCCUAUUGCUGUGAUAAAAUACCUGGAAAAAAGCAA
Molecule: long non-coding RNA, 446 nt
Organism: Rattus norvegicus (Norway rat)
Lineage: Eukaryota; Metazoa; Chordata; Mammalia; Rodentia; Muridae
Source: RefSeq, a predicted model, not a curated record